GACGAACGCUGGCGGCGUGCUUAACACAUGCCAGUCGAACGGAAAGGCCCUGCUUGCAGGGUACUCGAGUGGCGAACGGGUGAGUAACACGUGGGUGACCUGCCCUGCACUUCGGGAUAAGCCUGGGAAACUGGGUCUAAUACCGGAUAGGAGCCAUUUUUAGUGUGAUGGUUGGAAAGUUUUUUCGGUGUAGGAUGAGCUCGCGGCCUAUCAGCUUGUUGGUGGGGUAAUGGCCUACCAAGGCGGCGACGGGUAGCCGGCCUGAGAGGGUGGACGGCCACAUUGGGACUGAGAUACGGCCCAGACUCCUACGGGAGGCAGCAGUGGGGAAUAUUGCACAAUGGGCGCAAGCCUGAUGCAGCGACGCCGCGUGGGGGAUGACGGCCUUCGGGUUGUAAACUCCUUUCGCUAGGGACGAAGCUUUUUGUGACGGUACCUAGAUAAGAAGCACCGGCUAACUACGUG
RNAcentral lists this ribosomal RNA (465 nucleotides) under uncultured bacterium. Its description in RNAcentral is "partial 16S ribosomal RNA". It matches the Rfam family "Bacterial small subunit ribosomal RNA", at positions 28 to 507 of the family's 1533-position model. The record is from RNAcentral.